Molecule: long non-coding RNA, 4838 nt
Filed under: Sus scrofa (pig)
Lineage: Eukaryota; Metazoa; Chordata; Mammalia; Artiodactyla; Suidae
Description: lncRNA (ENSSSCG00000052692.1)
Source: RNAcentral
UGACCAAUUACUCAAUCUCUCGCCUUGCCUUAGUUUCCUUAGCAAAGUAGAAUAAGUAGAAUUAAUAAUAUAUUCCUGAUUAGAUAUGAGAAUAAAUGAAAUAAUCUAUGUAGGGUACCUUAUUGUCACUCAGCUAUUAAAACUAAUAUACUCCCUAGGGAGUUCCCAUUGUGGCUCAGUGGUUAAUGAACCCGAAUAGCAUCCAUGAGGAUGCAGGUUAGAUCUCUGGCCUCGCUCAGUAGGUUAAGGAUCUGGCGUUGCCAUAAGCUGCAGUGUAGAUCAAAGACACGGCUUGGAUCUGCACCACUAUGGCUCUGGUGUAGGCUGGCGGCUACAGCUCAGAUUGGACCACUAGCCUGGGAACCUCUGUGUGCCUUGGGUGCGGCCCUAAAGAGACAAAAAGACAAAAAUAAAUUUAAAAAACUAAUACACUGCCUACCCAUCUAUAUUAGCUGGGCUGCUGUAAUAAUUACCAUAGACUAGGAGGCAUAAACAUCAAGAAUUUAUUUCUUACAGUUCUGGAGGCUGGAAAGUACAAGACCGAGGUGCUGGCCAUUCAGUUCAUGUGAAAGCUCUCUUCCUGACUUGUGAUGGCUGUUUUCACAUGUAAGGGAGAGCGAGAAAAUGAACUCUCUGAUGUCUCUUCUUAGAACGAUACUCACCCCAUCAUGAGGGCCCCAUCCUCACGACUUCACCUGUUUCUGCUUACCUCUAAAGGCCCCAUCUCCAAAUAUUAUCACAUUGAGGAUUAGGGCCUGAACAUAUGAAUUGGAAGGACAUCAUUAACUUUGUAACACUGUUCCACCCCUUUUUAUUUGAAAUAUUUGCAGGACAAGAAACACUUAGCUCUGAUUUUUUUAAUUUUGUUUCCUUAAAACAAGAUAAAUAAGAACAUUCAUCAAAACAUUCCAUGAUUUACCAAAGGGACAGGCAGCAGGGAGGUCAGAUUGGGGGUUGGGAUUGGCAUAUAUGCACAUUGUGGUAUAUGGAGUGACUGGCCAAUGGGGGCCUGCUGCAUAACACAGGGAACUCUACCCAGUAUUCUGUGAUAACCUAUAUGGGAAAAGAAUCUGAAAAAGAAUGGAUGUGUAUAUAGGUAUAACUGAAUCACUUUGCUUUACAGCAGCAAGUAUUACAUCAUUGGAAAUCAAUUGUACUUCAAAAAAGAUUUUUAAAAUGAAAAAAAAAAAUCCCUGAUUUAUUCAACGGACAUUUAAUAAACACCUACUGCUUUCGAGGUGUGGUACUAGGUACUGAGGUUAUAAGAUUAAUUAAAGAGACAUGGUUCCAGCCCUCAAGGGAUUCAGACUCUUAACAACUGCCUAUUGGUAAUAUCUCAUUUCUUCCUUAAAAACCAUCAUUCCCCUCCCUCUGUAUGGCAGUUAUAAUAUUAAGGCUUUCAUAUUUCUCUGGUCAUUUCCUUCUUGGAUAAAGCAGCACAGGUAAGAGGCACUCUUUAUUACCCCCACUGAAUACAUAAAGAAAACAGGUGCUUAGAAUUAAAAGGACAUAAAGUGACAUGUGUAUAUGCUCAGCUCUAGGGGACAAGAUGAAAUGAGGAAGAGUUUGUUUUUAAAGUCCAUAUGUUUGAAUGUCUUGGCUUUCUCACCAAAAUGUUUUCUUUAAGAGAACAGGCCUUUUCAGACUCUUCACAAAAUUAAAGCAAAGAAGCUUUUCUAAAAUAUUUACUAAAAUAACUUCUCCAUUUGAUCCUCAAACAGCUUCACGAGCAAGGAGUAACUCUGCUUUAGUAGAUUCAUAAAACUGAAGAGAAAAAAGGUCAAUAUCAAUGUCAACAAACAUAUUUUUUCAGUAUCCAAUCAUGCCACAGGCCAUUACCUUCCCAAAGGAAAAGUUUUCAUUCAUGCUGCUUAUGACACAGCACACAAGAAACAGGGAAAUCCCAGGUAAUAACUACUGAAGCAAUCAUCAUUAUUAUUUCAGGUAAAGAGACUGAAGUUCAAACUAUCAAGUGCCAUAUAAAAGAUAUCAGCUGAUGUUUUUGUACAUUUACUUCACAUUUCUUUCAUCUUUCACAAAAGUGAUACUAACUCAUGGAAAAAUAAACACUAAGAAAAAAUAUAAAGGAAAAGGCAAGCUUCCUCCAUCCCUCCCAGACUUUGCCCCACUAACCAGAAGUAAUCAAACUUGCCUAAUCCUUAUGAAAAAGUAGGCACCUAACAUCAAUGUAUAUAAUGCCCUUUUUAAUAUAUGUGGGAUUAGCUAAUAAAUAAUAUUUUGCAGCAUAUUUGUGUCAUAGCAAUACACUUUGGAGAGUUUUCCAUAACAGCAUAUGUAGCUCUAUCUCAUUCUAUUAAUGACAGUUCAUUUUCAUAAGAGUCCAAAAUGGGAUUGCAUUUUUCCUGUUUCUUGGUAACCACUAUCCUUUGUACAAUGCAGUUAACUCGCUUCCUUAAUAAAUUCAAAAACUGAAUUGAGCAAGGCCCGUAAUAUUAAUUUCAACAAGACUUAACUUUAACAAGAGUACUUCAUCAGUUUCUGGCCAUGCCAGGGACCACUCCUUUUCAAAGAAAAUGUUUUCAUUCAUGCUGUUUAUGAGGUAGCACACAUGAAUGAGGAUAAAGCCAGGCGAUAUCCUCUAUCUUUCACAUACAUGGCAAAAAAUCGAAAGACACACCUGUUUACUGGCCAUAUCAAUACAACACAAGCUUCAAGUAACUUUUCCUCAGACCUUGCAGCUCAAGAUAACUACCCUCAAGUUCACAAUAAUAAAAAUUUUUAAAAAAGAAAAAAAAUUAGGGUUUCUUCACACUGGAGACAGAAAGACCAAACAAAUCUGCUAGUUAUAAUUCUGAGCUGUUUGACAGACAGAAACUUUAAAAUACAAUUUCUCAACAUUCAAGUGUAGCCAGAGGUAAUAGAACAUUUUUUUCCCCAAACCCAAUGAGGAAACUAAAAUGCUGCCUCAUUCAAUUCAAAGAGUAGAGUUCCAUUACAAUGAGAAUAACAAAAGCAGGCAGAAUCCCAGAAUCCUCAGAAACAUGCAACUCAGUAGGUCUGCUAGAAAAGAAACUUCACUUAGAUAAAAAGAUUAAAAACUCCCAUUCAGCAAACAGUGGCUUUUCUAGGAGCACAAAACCCUAAGUAAUCAUUUCCCCUAAUCAAAUGGGUGUCCUGUUGCUCUGUAAUCAAUGAUAAUGAAUGUAUUCUGUAAACUGGAGUGUUUAUAAGCCUUUUCAAAGCAGGAAAGCAGCACUGUCCUUUGCAGCCUCUCAGAGGAGUUCAGAGAUGGAAAAUUGCCCAUCUCCCUGCUCCCAGGCUCUAAAGGCCAACAAAGCUCAUUAGCUAUUUAUCUACCUGUGUAGAGCCACAUUUAACCCAAGAUGCCAUUCUACAAACCUCACCCGAACAGAAACAUACUGGGAAAGGAAAUUCAGCCAAAAACCCAGACAUUCGAACUCGAGAAACCAAUGGAGCUAAAAGGAAAACAUUAGUGGUUUAAUUCACUUAGAUGUCACAGUUUUAUUAAUCACCUUCUCCAUCAGGCACUGCAUGGACUAAGGAUCUGGAUAUAAUAAAAUUCAAUCUGCAUACGCAAAGAAAUCCCAGUUUGGAGUGGGAGAUAGGAAUGUAAACAGUUAACCAUUCGAUUCUGUAAAUACUGCAAUUAAAACAAUUCAUGGAACUAUGAGAGGACAGAAAACAUCCUCCCAAUACUAAAUGAUACAUAGAAGAGCACACAGAGAAAAUAUUUUUGAAUCCUUACUGGGAAACUGAUCACAGUGGUUGAUCUAGGAGGGUAAAUAUCAAAUAUCUACUGAAAGAUAGAACUAGAGAGAGAUUUACUUUCAUUGUAUACAUGUAUUUUUUAAACUUUGAAACGUGCACACUUUGCAUGCAUCAUCAAUUCACUAAUUAAUUUAAAAUAAAAUGGUGGGUAAAAAUGAUUUAAAAAAUAAUCCUUGUCCAGGGUAAAAAGCAGUAACUGUCUAAUACCUGCUUAUUUACGGUCAAAAAAAAUAAGAAUGCAUUAGUACCCACGAAUAAAUAAUAAUGCAUGUGAGCUUUUAUAAUCAUGUUUGAGAUUCAAAAACUUGCAUUUUAUAACAAGUUUUCAUGCAGUCAAAUCAUGGCCCUAACAAAAUGUGAAACUGGUCAUGGUGUAAAUUGCCAUAACCACUUAAGAGAACAGUUGGACUUCACUGAGUAAAGUGGAAGAUAUACAUCACCUAUGACACAUUUCCAGUUCUGGGAAGAUAUUCAAGCUGGUUCUCAAUCUUUAAUAAUUUGCAUUUCUAAUGAAUUUCCAGGUGAUGUUGAUGCUGCUGAUGCAAAGGCUACAUUUUGAGAACCAUUGCUUUAGAGAUAAUCAUGCGCAUGUGCACCAGGACACAUGAACAAAGAUGUUCAUAGCUGCGUUUUUCAUUAUACACAAAACUGGAGAACAACCCAGUCACUAUCAAUAAGAGAAAGCUUAAGUUGUGGGUGCAAUGUUACAGCAGAUAAUAAAAUAGCAAUGAAAAUAAGCUGUAGUUUCCUGCAAUCAUAUAAAUGACUUUCAGAAAACAAAACGUAGCAAAAAAAAAUGCAACAAAAAGAAUACAUUCAGUAAGACUUCAUUAGUAUAAAGUCCCAAAACAGGAAAAAAGAAACUACUAUAUCAUUUAUAGAUGCAAACAUAGACAGUAAAGGUAUGAUGCAAAGCAAGCAAAUGGUUAUCACAUAAGUCAGAAUACGGUUACCUCGAGGGUAGAAGGUGCGGUUAUGCUUGGAGAGGGUCACAUGGAGGGUUUCUGGGGUGCUGGCAAUGCACUGUUUCUCGACUUAGGUGGCCAUCAUUCCCAUUUUGGCUUUGUAAUUUUUGUCAAAUUGCACAU